RNAcentral lists this transfer RNA (73 nucleotides) under Lachnospiraceae bacterium. RNAcentral's name for it is "tRNA-Val". It matches the Rfam family "tRNA". Rfam says of the family: Transfer RNA (tRNA) molecules are approximately 80 nucleotides in length. Their secondary structure includes four short double-helical elements and three loops (D, anti-codon, and T loops). RNAcentral also lists the same sequence under 1 other name. Lineage: Bacteria; Bacillati; Bacillota; Clostridia; Lachnospirales; Lachnospiraceae. The record is from RNAcentral.
GCGGUCUUAGCUCAGCUGGGAGAGCGUUCGCCUCACACGCGAGAGGUCGCUGGUUCGAGCCCAGUAGGCCGCA